RNAcentral lists this non-coding RNA (100 nucleotides) under Streptomyces sp. Ag109_G2-6. Lineage: Bacteria; Bacillati; Actinomycetota; Actinomycetes; Kitasatosporales; Streptomycetaceae. The record is from RNAcentral.
UUGAGCCGGUUGCCUGGAAAACGGGCGCGGCCGGUUCUGAGGGGCCCCAACGCGGAGACGCGCUGGGGCUACCCGACGAGCUGUUCUUCUCCACCCUGAC